UACGUAGGGGGCAAGCGUUAUCCGGAAUUACUGGGCGUAAGGGGUGCGUAGGUGGUUUCUUAAGUCAGAGGUGAAAGGCUACGGCUCAACUGUAGUAAGCCUUUGAAACUGGGAAACUUGAGUGCAGGAGAGGAGAGUGGAAUUCCUAGUGUAGCGGUGAAAUGCGUAGAUAUUAGGAGGAACACCAGUGGCGAAGGCGACUCUCUGGUCUGUAACUGACGCUGAGGCUCGAAAGCGUGGGGAGCAAACAGGAUUAGAUACCCCCGUAGUCCCUGAGCGGG
RNAcentral lists this ribosomal RNA (281 nucleotides) under uncultured prokaryote. RNAcentral describes it as "partial 16S ribosomal RNA". It matches the Rfam family "Bacterial small subunit ribosomal RNA", at positions 524 to 803 of the family's 1533-position model. The record is from RNAcentral.